CUGACACAUUUGAGAGGAGCCCCCUGCUUGUCCAGCAGCUCCCAAAAAACCCCAGCUGGUCUGGAUGGAGGGGAAGGACAGAGCCAGCUCCCCCAUCCCUGGGAGUGCCAAAGGCUGAACCACCAGGAGGGGCACACAGGAGCUUGUGAGCACAUAAAAGACAUUUGGAACACACAACUCUGCCCAGGAUCACCAGGAAUUACCAGGGAACUGCUCAGUGCUGCAGCACCAAACACCACUCACUGUGAAUUACCUAAUUCAGUGUCCUCAGCCACAGGCUAUCACACAGUGACCCCAAAAGGCUGCCUAGAUUCAAAGACAAGUUCUGCACAGUGGUCAUCAGCAUUUUGCAGACAGCUAAUAGCCGAAUGAGGGCUCCACUCUCCUGGAUAAUGUUCAAGGGAAACAGCACCAACCUUUGUCCCACACUGCCUCACUGGAGAGCUGAGGAUCCCUACUGGAGCCCUGUUCUUGGACUUGGCUCAAAGGUUCCAUCCAGCCACCAGUGAGACAAGCAGGGCACGAUGAGUUUUGCUGCCCAAAUUUCCUUGUGGCCCCCAAGGACAGCAUUCACCCAGCCACUCUUCAGUAAGCAACUGCUCUGCACCUUUCCCUUCCCAGCCACUGCUAUAGAUGAUCCGUUUCCUUCGAGUUUCACUGCUAAGUAAAGGAAUUUGAACGAUGUGACAUCUGUGCUUUUGUUUCAAGCAGGACUCAAAGAAAAGCCUGUUAAAUUCUCAUGCAUGUGACAGGUAAAAGCCUUUUCUAAAAUAGUAUCAACCUCCACAAAGUCUAGGCCUUUACAUUGACUGCAUUCAGACUUCAACAAGAGCUGUGACUGUGGGAAGCAUCCCUUCCCUUCCCAAGGACCCCGGGGACAUCAGCUCAAUCCCAGAGGUUCAGAAAUGCACAGAAGUUCCGACUGCCACUUCUGUCCCUUGAUGCCACAGGAAUGGCCAGGGGAGUUCUGCUCCUGAAUUAUCCCACCUUGGACCAUGAAAGGAACCACAAGACACCUAAAAAUGUCUGCUUUACUGCCUGUAUUCAACAAACACAUGGCUAAAGCUUAAAGACAAAAUCACGAGUAUUUUAAUUUGUUUGAUAAAAAAACGUUAAUUACAACAAAAAUCUACAAAUACACAGAACUACAUCUUAACCCACAAACAGUGAUGGCACACAGGUAUACUACCAAAAAAAUCACAAAAAGACAAAAACAAUGAAAAUAAGUAGCCACAGUUUCUACAUAAUGUAAACAAACAUAUCCCUCAACUAUAUUUUAUUUUCCACAGCAGUUUCUCUAAGAGAGGGCACACAAAGUAAGAAAGUCAGGACAUUUGUAAGCUUCUGUUUCAAACUGAUGUGAAAUCCACUUAGCUGCAGUGGAACAGAACAAAAAUACUUACAAAAGUCUGCUGAGAUCUAAAAUCCAAAGGAAAAAUCACAACAUAAAAUUAAAGGUGCUUUCCACCUUCUAUAAUGUUCUUUUAGUGGAUAGAAUAAUUUCAGAAUUCGCAUGCAGGCAGAAGAUCAAUGUACAGAUACCCAGAAGAUUGCUGUAGAUAUAAUGGUAAUUCAUGCUAACCUGGGAGGUGAAGGAAACACAAAAAAUCAGGGCUUUUCCAAAUAAAAAAAGACAACAUAGAGCAGCCAGUUGUUUAGCAUUCUUAAGUCUGGUCUGAGGCAAAAGCUCUAUUCGUACUGUAUAUUUGCAUUGGCCCCAUAAAACAUGAGUAAAAUAUCAAGAGUUACAUAAUAAAUUUCACACCUUGUUCUCAGAGUAGUUCAUAUUCUUGAAAUUUUUUUUCAUGGCUGUAGUUAAAAGUGAUUUAAAAUAUUAGUUCAAAGGGAUCUCUGGUAAGCUAGGAAAGGAAACAAAAUCAUGCACCAUCUUGUCUAGCAUUCUGACUACUUCGUCCAAAGCAUAAUGCCAAGGAUCUAAAGUUGUACUCUGGGACAAUCAAACCUCAAAUAUUUAAUAUCAACAAACUUCUACAGACAUGCAUAUGCACCACAGAUUACACAUAUAAACAGCUGGCCUUGCAGGAUAGCUUGUUGAGUUAAACACCACAUAACAAUGUCAUGAAGUACACUAACAUUACAGGAGUCAGCGUCAGACAUCAAAUUCUUGUAGUAUUAAAUUUUACAACUUCCUGUCAGCUGAGGUUUGCAGUAAGAAAUUAUGUAUUUAUCAGCACAGAAAUAUUUUUCAGAGAACACGAACUGGACAAUGUAUUAGAUAAUGUAAAUAGAGACAAGGCUAGCACUCGGCUCUGGAUAAAGAUGUAGAUAAUCGCACACUUGCCUCGAUUACCACACACAGUUCUAAAUUCAUUAAAUCAUUCAGAAUUGUACAGAUAGCGAAGAUGGCUCAGAGUGAAAUGGAGCUGCUUACUGCUCUGCCUUGACUCCUGGGUAUACCUUUGUCCUCAGAUGAGAUGAAGCAGUAACACUAACAGGGAAGGUGAAGGACAGCUCUUCUACAGGUGCUGCUCAGCCAGCUCAAAUGAAGAGUAAGAGAGGCUGAGUGCUCUCAGCAGUCCAAGGAAUAUUGGCAGGGUGGUGUCUCUUCCAGAUAUAGCACAAAGAUGGUUCAACGGCAGGAAACCUCUGUCCUGAAAGCACAAGGCUGUGGCCAUAUGGACACUGGUGGGACUAAGGCAGAGCCAGCAGUGCUCAAUCUGGCAGUGCUGGAUGGACAGUUAGGAGCCAGGCCCCAGAUGCAGGAACCUGUGCCAUGGCAUUUGUUGUGCUGGACAAGCAACCUGGCCACAGCCACUGGGAGGAUGAGCCAGAGCAGUUGCGUACAUGGGCAGAAAAGGACAUCGAAUCUCCUGUUCCUGGAUGGGCAUCCUCCGAUCUCCGUGAAGUCUCCCUACCUUUCCCAUAACCAAACAGAGGAUUUUAACAUACCACAAGUACAGGUAUAGAAUCCUACACCCAGGCACUGGAAACCAUUCAUACCUGUAUUUACUACUUCUAAAAGCUGCAGCCUGUCAUUCAGUCCCACUUCAGUGCUAUGUCAUCCUUUCACCUGGGUGCUGCAGUCAACAAGCACAACCUGGAACACCGUUGUCUGCACAGGGCCUAACAGCUCUGCUUGGGGCCAUAAGUGGAGUAUUCACAUACUCCCUCCAAUCUGAUAAAUGCCAAUCUAGCAGUACAGAAUUGCUACACAGAAUAUGUCUGCUGGUUCUUCAGUUAAGUGCUUCCAAGAAGACAGAACUCUGCUGUUUUUCAUGAAAAGUUAUUCUCAGAAUAAUGGGCCACACCAUUUCUGUUAUAAUGUCAUUUUCAACAGGACUGUUCAAUUUAAAUUUCUAAUCUCAUAGCCAGCCAAUAAUAUAUGUACAUGGAAAACAUCAACUGUCUAUCUCAUCAACUGUGUAUUUAUUUUGCCUGCCUACAUUGGAUAUAUGGUGAGACAGCUCUAGGUGAUUUUUAUGGAAAAAAGUUUUCAUAAAAAGUUGUGUAACAUUACUGUGUAAGCACUAUUUGAGACAGUCCCAGACCUGCAGAAUUACAGAUUAGUAAAACACCUUUACAGUCUGAACUUUACUCAGACUUCAGUCUUAAGCUCUCAUAAAAAAACACAAACGAAGAUCUACAUCAAGCUAUUCAAUUAAAAAUUAUAUUAGUUACACAGUGACAAAUUUAUUAGAGGUCUGCACACCACUUAAUUUAAAUGCUGGCUAACCAAAUUUUUACUCCAACAUAACUCCAUCAAUUAAAGGUGACAUUGUAAUUUUUUUAAUAUGUUUUUAACACUGCUUGUCAGAAUAGUAUUAACAGUAAGUAUAAAAUAUCUUUAUACCAAUAAGCAUACACCAGUAGAUCUUAAGACUCCCUCCUACACCCUUCCUAACACUGUAUCACUGCUACAGAAAAGUACUGCUUUAAAUUGUACAGGUGUAGUAGCUAAAGCUGUUACAACAUUUGAAUACGGAGAAAGCCUGGAAGUACUACUAUAAACUCUUCCCUCCAGUGCAUUAAGACACUGCAAGAAACCAAUGAGGGCCCCCUUAAUUAAACUGAAGGAAUAUAUUUUUCUUUUGUUUAGG
Non-coding RNA from Cyanistes caeruleus (blue tit), 4058 nucleotides. Lineage: Eukaryota; Metazoa; Chordata; Aves; Passeriformes; Paridae. The record is from RefSeq and is a predicted model, not a curated record.